CCAUCGGUGGUUCAGUGGUAAAAUGCUCGCCUGCCACGCGGGCGGCCCUGGUUCGAUUCCCGGCCGAUGCA
This 71-nucleotide transfer RNA is filed under the name Cordylochernes scorpioides. RNAcentral describes it as "tRNA-Gly". It matches the Rfam family "tRNA". Rfam says of the family: Transfer RNA (tRNA) molecules are approximately 80 nucleotides in length. Their secondary structure includes four short double-helical elements and three loops (D, anti-codon, and T loops). The record is from RNAcentral. Lineage: Eukaryota; Metazoa; Arthropoda; Arachnida; Pseudoscorpiones; Chernetidae.